Molecule: long non-coding RNA, 645 nt
Organism: Oncorhynchus keta (chum salmon)
Lineage: Eukaryota; Metazoa; Chordata; Actinopteri; Salmoniformes; Salmonidae
Exons: 4
Source: RefSeq, a predicted model, not a curated record
CUAUACUAGUCUGACCCCAUGGUCCAGGUAUAAUACUAUACUAGUCUGACCCCAUGGUUCAGGUAUAAUACUAUACUAGUCUGACCCCAUGGUCCAGGUAUAAUACUAUACUAGUCUGACCCCAUGGUUCAGGUACAAUACUAGUCUGACCCCAUGGUCCAGGUACUAUACUAGUCUGACCCCAUGGUCCAGGUAUAAUACUAUACUAGUCUGACCCCAUGGUCCAGGUAUAAUACUAUACUAGUCUGACCCCAUGGUCCAGGUACUAUACUAGUCUGACCCCAUGGUCCAGGUAUAAUACUAUACUAGUCUGACCCCAUGGUCCAGGUACAAUACUAGUCUGACCCCAUGGUCCAGGUACAAUACUAUACUAAUCUGACCCCAUGGUCCAGGUACAAUACUAUACUAAUCUGACCCCAUGGUCCAGGUACAAUACUAAUCUGACCCCAUGGUCCAGGUACAAUACUAAUCUGACCCCAUGGUCCAGGUACAAUACUAAUCUGACCCCACGGUCCAGGUACAAUACUAAUCUGACCCCAUGGUCCAGGUACAAUACUAAUCUGACCCCAUGGUCCAGGUACAAUACUAGUCUGUUCGAGAUGUAGGGAAACGGUGCUGUUUAUGUGUCUUUGUCCUGUCUCUCUG